Molecule: long non-coding RNA, 915 nt
Organism: Polyodon spathula (Mississippi paddlefish)
Lineage: Eukaryota; Metazoa; Chordata; Actinopteri; Acipenseriformes; Polyodontidae
Exons: 2
Source: RefSeq, a predicted model, not a curated record
CAUAUAGAUGCUGUAUCAUAUAGAUAGGAUAGAUAGGUUUUCCUUUUUUUGCACUUGCUUUCAAAUAGGACAAAUGUCAGUGUCUUUAGUUUAACGCCUUGUGCAGAUUCUACUUAUUUUAUUUGCUAGUCAAAAAUUGAGAGCGUAUGGCGUCGAGCAGAUCAUAUACAAAAGAAGAGUUAAACGUUUUGAAUACUUCGGUGUAAGAGACCUUGACAUGGAAUCUACUGUCAUAAUCACUUCCUUUCUUAAGUUUUUACAUUCAUUAGGGUUAACCGUAAAAACAUGUUUUACAAAGAGCAUGCGUUAGAGGCACUAUGGACAGCGUUUUGGAUCUGAGGCGAUAUUUUCAAGCUGGUUGUUUAUUCCAACGUGUAAAUAGAUGUUGCUGAUAUCGCCCUGCAUGUGGCACACGGGAAACUGGCGAGUGAAAAUGACACACAAUUGAUCCACUAAGACGUUUUAUUUUUUCACAAAGUAUGUUUAAACAAUACAUGUGGAAGCUAUGAAAUUCCAAGAAAGUCUCUAUCUUUCUCUCUCUCUCUCUCUCUCACAGUGCAUGCUGGAAGUCUGUGGUGAGUGAGUGUAAGCGGGAGUGUCUGAGUUUGUGUACGGUUUUGCUGUGCAUGAAAUCUAUAUUUUCUCUUUGUUUCUUUGUUGUGUUUGUUUAUCGUUAAAGUAUUUGUUGUUUAUUUAGUUGUUUUGUUUUCGGGCCAUAUGAUUCUUUGCCUAGGAUAAAUGGGUUUAAGAUUGUCACAGGAGCAGGUGUCAGUAGAGGACUGUGCUUUGGCCAUAGGAAAGGAGGUAUGUUACGAGAAUAUCAUCUCUGCCUCGAGAAUGAACAAGAGUAUUGUGAUGUUUUCAAAGACUGAAGCUCUUGUUAAUGAUAUUGUGGAGACAGGGAUUACUGUGAAA